GGCGCACGGGUGAGUAACGCGUAUGCAACCUACCUCUAAUUGGGGAAUAGCUCCCGGAAACGGGAAUUAAUGUCCCAUAAUGUUCUGGAAACGCAUGUCUUCAGAAUUAAAGCUCCGGCGAUUAGAGAUGGGCAUGCGUGCCAUUAGUUUGUUGGUGAGGUAACGGCUCACCAAGGCUGCGAUGGCUAGGGGGUCUGAGAGGAUGAUCCCCCACACUGGUACUGAGACACGGACCAGACUCCUACGGGAGGCAGCAGUGAGGAAUAUUGGGCAAUGGGCGCAAGCCUGACCCAGCCAUGCCGCGUGAAGGAUGAAGGCUCUAUGAGUUGUAAACUUCUUUUAUGCCGGAAGAAUACCAUACUCGUGAGUAUGGAUGACUGUACGGUAGGAAUAAGCAUCGGCUAACUCCGUGCCAGCAGCCGCGGUAAUACGGAGGAUGCAAGCGUUAUCCGGAUUUAUUGGGUUUAAAGGGUGCGUAGGCGGAAUCAUAAGUCAGUGGUGAAAUCCUGCGGCUUAACCGUAGAAUUGCCAUUGAUACUGUUAUUCUUGAGUGCA
This 555-nucleotide ribosomal RNA is filed under the name uncultured Bacteroidota bacterium. Its description in RNAcentral is "bacterial SSU rRNA". It matches the Rfam family "Bacterial small subunit ribosomal RNA", at positions 97 to 650 of the family's 1533-position model. The record is from RNAcentral. Lineage: Bacteria; Pseudomonadati; Bacteroidota.